UGUCUGCUUGCCCAGAGCACGAGCUGUGAGGGGAUUCACUUGUGUGCGGAACUCCUCGGAACCAUGGCGUCCCUUUCCCUUGCACCUGUUAACAUCUUCAAGGCAGGAGCUGAUGAAGAGAGAGCAGAGACAGCUCGUCUGACUUCUUUUAUUGGUGCCAUCGCCAUUGGAGACUUGGUAAAGAGCACCUUGGGACCCAAAGGCAUGGACAAAAUUCUUCUAAGCAGUGGACGAGAUGCCUCUCUUAUGGUAACUAAUGAUGGUGCCACUAUUCUAAAAAACAUUGGUGUUGACAAUCCAGCAGCUAAAGUUUUAGUUGAUAUGUCAAGGGUUCAAGAUGAUGAAGUUGGUGAUGGCACUACUUCUGUUACUGUUUUAGCAGCAGAAUUAUUAAGGGAAGCAGAAUCUUUAAUUGCAAAAAAGAUUCAUCCACAGACCAUCAUAGCGGGUUGGAGAGAAGCCACUAAGGCUGCAAGAGAGGCGCUGUUGAGUUCUGCAGUUGAUCAUGGUUCCGAUGAAGUUAAAUUCCGUCAAGAUUUAAUGAAUAUUGCGGGCACAACAUUAUCCUCAAAACUUCUUACUCAUCACAAAGACCACUUCACAAAGUUAGCUGUAGAAGCAGUUCUCAGACUGAAAGGCUCUGGCAACCUGGAGGCAAUUCAUAUUAUCAAGAAGCUAGGAGGAAGUUUGGCAGAUUCCUAUUUAGAUGAAGGUAUGUAUGAAUGUCAGAUACAAGAAGCUUUGAUUAGAUGCUGAGGGCUGCAUACUGAGUGAAU
This 776-nucleotide small RNA is filed under the name Pongo abelii (Sumatran orangutan). RNAcentral's name for it is "retained intron". The record is from RNAcentral. Lineage: Eukaryota; Metazoa; Chordata; Mammalia; Primates; Hominidae.